Myxocyprinus asiaticus (Chinese sucker) is the source of this 5334-nucleotide long non-coding RNA. RefSeq lists it as uncharacterized. The transcript is spliced from 2 exons. The record is from RefSeq and is a predicted model, not a curated record. NCBI's taxonomy places the organism in Eukaryota, Metazoa, Chordata, Actinopteri, Cypriniformes, Catostomidae.
GAUGGUGAUCAUCAGCAUAAAUGUCAUCCAUGCGACUCCACUGGUUAAAUAACGAUUGCUUUUGGUGUGAAAAAAAUCAAUAUUUAAGUACUUUUUAACUAUAAAUCAUAGCUUCCGGUCAGCAGCAGUAUACGCAUUCACGAGAGGGCGGAGUUCACACGGUCUGUGGUGUGACGUAUUCGCUUUGGCAUGUUUGGACAUAAUCUCACAUUUUUCUCUCGUUUGAGACAUCCAGGAUGAGCACACAAACUCCCCAUUGUGAGUAAACAAACAGAUAAAACCAAUGGCGCUUCUAAACAGUGUUCCUCCUAUUCCGUUUUAAACAACGCCGCUCUUUCAGGUGUGUCGCACGUGCUGUUCUCACGUGAACGUGCCAAUGCGAUUACGUCACGCGUGUACUGCUGCUGACCGGAAGCGAUGAUUUAUAGUUAAAAAGUACUUAAAUAUUGAUCUUUUUCGCACCAAAAGCAAUCGUUUCGCUUAAGACGACAUUAACGAGUGGAGUCAUAUGGAUGACAUUUAUGCUGUCUGUCACCAUCCACUUGAAUUUUAAGGGCCUACUGAGCUAAGAUAUUUUUCAUCGAAUGCGUUCUGGUAAAGAAAGAAAGUCAUACACAUCUGGGAUGGCAUGAGGGUGAGUAAAUGAUGAGAGAAUGUAAAUUUUUGGGUCAACUAUCCCUUUGAUUAAAAUGAACUAAUGCCACACAAUUCUAGAACAUUUUGUCAACUCUAUUUCAAUGCAUUCUAUCCAUUUAAAUUUGUAAAAUGGAAGUUUUAUGAAUACUUUUUGUGGUGUUAAUUUAGCAUUGAUGAAACUGGGCAGGGUAUUUCCAUUUUCCAGCAUGCUUUGCAUGGGACUCGUUAGGGAGAGUAAAUGUUUAAAUUAAGUGUUAGUUUGUGUUUUUGUGCAGGAUGAAUAUAAAGGGGGAUACUUGUUGGUGUUUAAUGUUUUUUUAUGUUGAGAUUUAGAAGAGUUGUUUUAUGUUGGAGUUUUGGGGGUUUCCAUUAUGGUAAAGAAAGUGGAGUUUGAUGUAACAAUGAGGACAUCACAUAUGAAAUUGAUUGCUCGCUUCGUUGAGCAAUUGCUGUGCUAACCAUAGCACAGUUACUAAACUACACUCUGUUGUGCAACCAGCAUGUAUUUAGCAUGCUAACAUUCACUUUCACUAGUUAGUAUAUAAUAAGUAAAAGAGAUCUGAGUUACAUUGAUACGUCUAACUUUGUUGGGUUUACUCAAUUCAACUAGGUUCUUUCUACACAAAGUGUUGGUGUUGAGAUUACGUAGUAAUUUUAAGUCAAGAAAACAAAUUUCAAACAUGUGGAACCACUGUCCAUGAUUGAAUCAAGUUCAGCCAAAGAUUUGUUUUUUUAGUGUAUCGUAUGACUUCAGAAUACUCUGAAUGUACUGCACAAGUCAUAUGAACUGUAAUCAUAUUUUAUGGUGCUUUUUGGCUUUUUCUCCACAGUUUACUUUCACUUAUUAUUUGAAAAAAAUAGAGCCAUUCUCCAACAGUUCUCCUUUUGUGUUCCACAUCAGAAAGCCAUACAGUUUUGAAACAAUGGUGAGAAAAUGGCGACUUCAUUUUUAGGGUGAACUCUCCCUUUAACAGCUCUCCAUAGGAAUUGUUUGUAUUAUGAGGUGAAAUAAGUAGGAAACCCAGAGCUCAAGCUGUAAAGUGGAAAAAUGUACCUUUUAAUUUAACACUGGAUUACUUACCUGUGGAGCUGUUAAUGGAAUACGUAACCACAUAUGCCAUAUAAAGACUUUAAUUUUGCAAGUUUUAUUCAUCAAAUGAUUCAAUUAAAGCUCUUUCAAGAAUUUAUUAAAUAUGAAACGGACACAUUCGCACCUUACCAGGAGUACAUGAAUAUGAUGAGCAUGUAUCUGUAAGGACCUAUUUAAUCAGGUUAGUUACACUUUAACUGCUGGAUCUUAUCAAUCACUACAUUUACCGUAACUUUAGGUGUUUUGUUUGGUUUAGGUCUCUUAAUACUCAAGCUUCCAUUUUCUUAUGUUACUGCUGAUCCUUUAAUACAACGCACAUAUUUUGUUCAAUCGGGGUGCAGUGUCUUACACGGUACAGGCAUAUUCAGGUGAAUUGUGGUGCUGAACCAUUCUUGCUGGUUUCCUUUGGAUUUCCACUAAUUUCGUGGUGCUUUCCGCAACCUGGAAAACCAGCACACGUGUACUUUUACACAAACACACAUACACACUGAUAAAAAGACGUACACACACUGGGAAAAUGCAGAAUAAAUACGGUAAAAAAAUAAAUAAAUAAAAAAACUAAAGAAAAAACUACUGGGCAACUUUAACUCAUCUUUGUUUUGUUUUUAUUUGUGUAUUUUUUUUUUUUUUUUUUUUUUUUGUACUGUGAAUGAUAGUGUCUUUCAGACUGUAUAAUUGUACAUAAUUUGGUUUAUUUAUCAUUUUAAUUUUCUGUCAUUUGUUUUUGUUGGUGAUUGUUGGCUCUUUUGUAUAGGAGCAGAGCACAACAUGUGCAAAGUGUAUGAACUUGACUCACAGUCUAAACAAUAUGGUGCUACAAUCUGUACAACUUUAGACUGUGCUUAUUUAUAUUAAGAACAUCAACACACACAAAAAAAAAAAAUUAAUAAAGAUACUUGGUGCUUUUAAACGGGAAUGAUUUCAAGCCUUGCGGCAUUUAUUUUUCCAAUAUUUAUUAUGUUAUCGUAUUAUUUGGCACCCAGCUUAAAGCAGUUAUUGCUUGUUUGGAUAGUGCUGAUUAUUUUAUAGAAGAAACACCUUUUGGUCUUAAUCUAACAGACUUAAAUAAGCAUGGAAGUUCACCACGCUUUGCGGAACUUUAUAGGAGGGUGAUAAAAAUUUUAAUGAAGUAUUUACUUCAGUGGUGCUCGCAUCUGAACUUGACCUGUAUGACAAGUAGUGAAUGCAUAGAGCUACUACACCUUGACUGUUUGAGCCUGUAUGAAAUGGAAAACUGGUGCCAAUGGCGUUAAUUUUUUGUAUCUGUUAUAUUAAAACUUUCAUUUGUUAUAAAGAUGAAAAUGUGUGCUAAGCCUAUUUGCCUACAUUUCUGGGCCUAAACGGCUCGGUGCUGUUUUCACAAUGUAAUAAUCACUGCUUCGUCUUACUAAAAUUGGUGCUGUUGUUUAAACAGAUGUCUAAUAUGUCCCAUACCAAAACCUACAAUCCACUAUCAAAGCCUGUCCUAGAGUGUGUUGUGUAACUUAGAGUUAGAGCCUGUUGCGUUUCGUGGUGAGGUGAAGUUCCGAUGUGACUGAUCGUAGAGAUGGUUAGUUUUCCGUCAGUGGGCUAGUACUGUGGUCGACCGAUACUGAUAUCUAAGAUGUAAUUCAGAUACUCACUGAGCACUUUAUUAGGAACACUGUGGUGCUAAUAAAGUGCCCGACGUGGUCUUCUGCUGUUGAAGCCCAUCCCCCUAAAGGUUCGACGUGUUGUGCAUACGGAGAUGCUAUUCUACUCACUACAAUUGUACAGAACGGUUAUCUGAGUUACCGUAGCCUUUCUGUCAGCUCGAAUCAGUCUGGCCAUUCUCCAUUGAUCUCUCAUCAACGAGGCAUUUCCGUCCGCAGAACUGCCGCUCACUGGGUGUUUUUUUGGUUGGGAACCACUGCUCUAGAGACUGUUGUGCGUGAAAAUCCCAGGAGAUCAGCAGUUACAGAAAUACUCAAACCAGCCCAUAUGGCACCAACAAUCAUGCCACGGUCAAUCACUGAGAUCACAACUUUUCCCCAUUUUGAUUGUUGAUGUGAACAUUAACUGAAGCUCCUGACCCGUAGCUGCAUGAUUUUAUGCAUUACACUGCUGCCACACGAUUGGCUGAUUCGAUAAAUCGCAUGAAUAAGUGGGUAUACAGGUGUUCCUUAUAAAGUGCUCUGAGUAAUAGGUAACACAAUUUGAUGACAAAUGAGACGCAAAAUUUCUUCAGUGAAAAAACACUACUGGAAAAUGUAUGAAAACAAAUCAUCCAUUGACAAGGCUGUUUUGUCUUUGGCUUUUUUGAAAUUGAUAUUUGUGGUAAUUGGCCCAAAAUGGUCAAAUAUCCUACCUGGCAUAUCGGUCUAUCACUGGCUAGUACAACAUUGUCAAAAUGGUAAUUGGCGUGCAACAUAGUCGGCGGGAGUGCAGUUCCUUAGUUUUGUAUCCUUGUUUUCUUCAUUGUGUGUUUUGUUUUUGUCUCGAAAAAAGUCAACCUCAUCUAAGCUUUAUAGUCAAAAUGCUGUUUAAUAGACUAUGGUGUAAAAUGAUAUAAAAACAUUGUGUAAUUUCUGUCUAACUAAAGAUGAUAUAGGAUAUUGACCAGUAAAUGAGUCCAUUGUUACCAGCACUGAGGGUCUUUUUUUUGUAGAAAUUAAUAGUCAUUGUUAAUGUUUCCUGUUUUAAUGGCCAAUUUGUGUUUUGAUAUCUUUGCAACUGUUUAUGAUUUCAUUAUCCUGACAGUUUGAAAACUCUUUAGAACAGGAAGGUGCUCUCCUGCACUUUAAACAAGGAAAAUGCAGCUAUGAAAUUCAUGCACCUCUUGCAUUGUGCUAGCGAGAGUUAAUCAUUUAAUAAACGUCAAUGCAAGCUUGGCUUGUUAUUGUGACGUCUCUUUCUAAAUCUUUUGUCCAUCCAGACAUCUCUUGUUGGAAUGGAAAUUAACUUAAGCUUUUCUUGAAAUUGAUUUUGAACUAUUUAAAAUAAAAACAAUUCAUAAUUCUUGCUGGUGUUGCAUUUUCUCAGGUAUAUGUACAAGGUUAGAUGUGCAUUGCAAAAGGCAACUCAAGUCCUUUGGCAUGUUUCCAUAGAUUAAUGAUUAUGUCCAAAUAUAAAUAUGUAAAUUCACAAAGGUUCUGUCUAGUGUCUCAGGAACAUCAGUUCUGACUUUAAUAGAGUUGCAUAUUGGAAGGGAAUGUUAAAUAUAUUGGCUGUCUUCCUGUAGCUGACAUAUAUAAAUGAGAAUUGAUUGGUUGCCCUUAGAAGUUUGCUUUACUGUGCAUUGUUUACCUGUGAUCGCAAUGUCCACCGGCGUAUCAGCACUGACUAUCUUUCAGUCAUAAUGUUCCAAUCCAAAUUCAUCCCUUUUAAGUUAUGAAAAAUGCUUGUAUUACUCAAAUACUUUAAUACUUGCAUUCCUAUUUUCAGUGAAUCACAAAUUAUAUUUUGUAAUUGUUUAUCAAAACCAUCAUAGGAUUAUUGUGCAGUAAUAGCAAACUCUUAGAGCCGCCAGAUUUGUGUCACUGUGUUUGGUGCUUUGAACUUAAGUUAAAAUUACAGCCUAAAUGAGUGGAUAAAAGCUUUUAAAUCCCAGUUUUCUGUUAACAAAAUUAAUAAAGUGUUUCUAAUGAAAA